Molecule: unclassified non-coding RNA, 358 nt
Filed under: Dahlia tubulata
Lineage: Eukaryota; Viridiplantae; Streptophyta; Magnoliopsida; Asterales; Asteraceae
Description: partial external transcribed spacer
Source: RNAcentral
UGUGACCAGACGCGAGUAGCCUCCCUCGGCGGCCUKGCCGUCCUCGUAGCCGCAUCCUGGACACUAGUAACACGCGUGCUUUUGCCUUUCACUUAUAGAGUGGGGUAGUCUCGCGAAUGUGCUACGUUGACCUCUGUGCGGCUGUCCGUUGGACACAAACACAUCAGUUUGAGAUCAAAACAGGUGCCUAGCCACCUUGUAUGAUUCUCAAACCGAUCACAAAUCGAUUAGGCGCCCCGGCACCUGAUCGGUUUGUGAUCAGUCGCUUUGGGAGUCCCUUUGAGAUAAACAGCUGGUGUCCGGUCCCUUCAAGAUCAGGAAACGGGUGCCUUGUCACUUCGAGAUCAAAUACGGAUGC